RNAcentral lists this transfer RNA (72 nucleotides) under Lentinula boryana. RNAcentral describes it as "tRNA-Met". It matches the Rfam family "tRNA". From Rfam's summary of the family: Transfer RNA (tRNA) molecules are approximately 80 nucleotides in length. Their secondary structure includes four short double-helical elements and three loops (D, anti-codon, and T loops). Further hydrogen bonds mediate the characteristic L-shaped molecular structure. tRNAs have two regions of fundamental functional importance: the anti-codon, which is responsible for specific mRNA codon recognition, and the 3' end, to which the tRNAs corresponding amino acid is attached (by aminoacyl-tRNA synthetases). tRNAs cope with the degeneracy of the genetic code in two manners: having more than one tRNA (with a specific anti-codon) for a particular amino acid; and 'wobble' base-pairing, i.e. permitting non-standard base-pairing at the 3rd anti-codon position. The record is from RNAcentral. Lineage: Eukaryota; Fungi; Basidiomycota; Agaricomycetes; Agaricales; Omphalotaceae.
AAAGACAUGGCGCAGUGGUAGCGCGCGGGGCCCAUAACCCCGAGGUCACUUGAUCGAAACAAGUUGCUGCUA